CCCAUCGCCGUACAAGGCUGCUGUGGUAGGAUUCUUUGUUUGUUUACAUCAGUAUCAGUUUAUUUUGAAGAGAUUCGAAACCCGAAAUAAGUGGUUUUAGGAGAAAAAAUAUUAGUGUGAAAAGGAAAGAAUUAAAAGCUGGCUAUACAUAACAGCGCAGAAAGCAGAAAACACAAUAUCUUGGUGAUUAUUUAAGUUCUGCAGGGAGGCAUAAAUAAGGAUGAAGUGGCUGAAAAUCCAAUGCAUUUUGGUGGCAGAAUUCGAUAAGGAGAGGAUACCUAAUUGCAUCAAACCCUGUGAUUGGCCAGAAGCUGAAAUGGAAAUACAUCUCCGCUGAGUUGAUAGAUUCCAAGCUAGUACGCGUGCAAAUAUCAGUGAUCCAAGAACAUGUCAAAGAGUAUAAUGAAAAAUUAAAUAAAUUCCUUGGAACUAAAUACAUAAAAA
Molecule: long non-coding RNA, 444 nt
Organism: Armigeres subalbatus
Lineage: Eukaryota; Metazoa; Arthropoda; Insecta; Diptera; Culicidae
Exons: 2
Source: RefSeq, a predicted model, not a curated record